GGGAGAGGGAAUCCAGCUACCACCACCCAAAGCCAGCGUCUGCUUUCUGUCCUCAUUUCCUUUUCCCACCCAGCUCGGAGAGCAGAGAAAGGCAGAGAGAGCGAGAAAUAGAGACAGGCAGGCAAACAGACAGACAGACAGAACGGGAGGGAGGAGGGCGGCGGAGGAGGAACAGGAGGACUACGCGGGGCGCGUUCCCUCCCAGCAGCCGUGCGCCCGCGUCGCUGCCGCCGCGGGAAGACAGACGCCCCCCAAAGCCCCUCGCCUGGCUCGGACUCACGGAGCCAGCAGCCCAGCACUCCGAUGGAGUAACCAAGUCCGAAGGUGGAAGGAUGGUCAAGGCCAGCCUGCUGAUGAACCCCCUCCUUCCUGCCCCAUUUCUGCUGUC
RNAcentral lists this long non-coding RNA (388 nucleotides) under Heterocephalus glaber (naked mole-rat). RNAcentral's name for it is "lncRNA (ENSHGLG00100037261.1)". The record is from RNAcentral. Lineage: Eukaryota; Metazoa; Chordata; Mammalia; Rodentia; Bathyergidae.